This is a regulatory RNA element of Balearica pavonina (black crowned-crane), 46 nucleotides long. It matches the Rfam family "Histone 3' UTR stem-loop". Rfam says of the family: The mRNAs of metazoan histone genes lack a poly-A tail. 3' end processing occurs at a site between a highly conserved stem-loop (modelled by this family) and a purine rich region around 20 nts downstream (the histone downstream element, or HDE). Lineage: Eukaryota; Metazoa; Chordata; Aves; Gruiformes; Gruidae. The record is from Rfam.
CCAAAGGCUCUUUUAAGAGCCACCCAUGUUCUCAGUAAAAGAGCUU